RNAcentral lists this long non-coding RNA (244 nucleotides) under Vigna radiata. RNAcentral describes it as "long non-coding RNA (VRAD_LNC006318)". Lineage: Eukaryota; Viridiplantae; Streptophyta; Magnoliopsida; Fabales; Fabaceae. The record is from RNAcentral.
UCAAAUCUGGUUGUGACUUUAGGUUGCCAUGUUCUAUUUAAGCUUUUCAAUGAUGUUCAACUCCUCAUUGUCAAAGGUCUUCCCAAGAGCAAGGAGGUGGUUAACUAUAAGCGUGAAUCUUUUCUGCACAUCAUAGAUACUUUCUCCGUUCUUCAUUCUGAACAUUUCAUACUCUUGGAUUGAUGAGUUCUCCUAGCCCUUUUUACUUCAUCAGUGCCCUCAUGUGUGACUUCAAGAAUGUCCC